UACGUAGGGGGCUAGCGUUAUCCGGAAUUACUGGGCGUAAAGGGUGCGUAGGCGGUCUUUCAAGCCAGAAGUGAAAGGCUACGGCUCAACCGUCGUAAGCUUUUGGAACUGUAUGACUUGAGUGCAGGAGAGGAGAGUGGAAUUCCUAGUGUAGCGGUGAAAUGCGUAGAUAUUAGGAGGAACACCAGUAGCGAAGGCGGCUCUCUGGACUGUAACUGACGCUGAGGCACGAAAGCGUGGGGAGCAAACAGG
Molecule: ribosomal RNA, 252 nt
Filed under: uncultured bacterium
Lineage: Bacteria
Description: partial 16S ribosomal RNA
Rfam family: Bacterial small subunit ribosomal RNA
Source: RNAcentral